GCGGGGAUGGCAGAGUGGCCAAAUGCGAUGGACUCAAGAUCCAUUUCCUUAGUGGAUACGGGGGUUCGAAUGAAAAACUGCGUUUUUCACCCGGAAAAUGUUAGUUUUUUUGAAUGUCCCUCUCCCCGCA
Molecule: transfer RNA, 130 nt
Filed under: Candidatus Woesearchaeota archaeon
Lineage: Archaea; Nanobdellati; Candidatus Woesearchaeota
Description: tRNA-Leu
Rfam family: tRNA
About the family: Transfer RNA (tRNA) molecules are approximately 80 nucleotides in length.
Source: RNAcentral